CCUACGGGGGGCAGCAGUGGGGAAUAUUGCACAAUGGGGGAAACCCUGAUGCAGCGACGCCGCGUGAGUGAAGAAGUAAUUCGUUAUGUAAAGCUCUAUCAGCAGGGAAGAAAAUGACGGUACCUGAGUAAGAAGCCCCGGCUAACUACGUGCCAGCAGCCGCGGUAAUACGUAGGGGGCAAGCGUUAUCCGGAUUUACUGGGUGUAAAGGGAGCGUAGACGGCAGUGCAAGUCUGGAGUGAAAGGCGGGGGCCCAACCCCCGGACUGCUCUGGAAACUGUACGGCCGGAGUGCAGGAGAGGGAA
This 305-nucleotide ribosomal RNA is filed under the name uncultured bacterium. Its description in RNAcentral is "bacterial SSU rRNA". It matches the Rfam family "Bacterial small subunit ribosomal RNA", at positions 338 to 660 of the family's 1533-position model. The record is from RNAcentral.